GGGUAUAGCUCAGUGGUAGAGCAUGUGCUUAGCGUGCACGAGGUCCUGGGUUCAAGCUCCAGUAUGUCCA
Molecule: transfer RNA, 70 nt
Filed under: Camelus bactrianus (Bactrian camel)
Lineage: Eukaryota; Metazoa; Chordata; Mammalia; Artiodactyla; Camelidae
Also listed under: 2 other names
Rfam family: tRNA
About the family: Transfer RNA (tRNA) molecules are approximately 80 nucleotides in length. Their secondary structure includes four short double-helical elements and three loops (D, anti-codon, and T loops).
Source: Rfam by way of RNAcentral